CCGGUGAGAAUGCCCUUAAAAACUAUAUAAAGUUAAAAGGAGCUGGUAUCAGGCACACCCCCUGGGUAGCCCAUUACACCUUGCUUAACCACACCCCCACGGGAUACAGCAGUGACUAACAUUAAGCUAUAAACGAAAGUUUGACUGAGUCAUAAUUAAGCAGGGUUGGUAAAUUUCGUGCCAGCCACCGCGGUCAUACGAUUAACCCAAAUUAACAGACCACCGGCGUAAAGCGUGUUUAAGUAUAAUAUUCUAAUAAAGUUAAAACCUAACUAAACUGUAAAACGUUAUAGUUAAUAUCAAAAUAUGCAACUAAAGUGACUUUAAUCUACACUGAACACACGAUAGCUAAGACACAAACUGGGAUUAGAUACCCCACUAUGCUUAGCCCUAAACCCAAAUAGUUAAAAAACAAAACUAUUCGCCAGGGAACUACUAGCUAAUGCUUAAAACUCAAAGGACUUGGCGGUGCCCUAAACCCACCUAGAGGAGCCUGUUCUAUAAUCGAUAAACCCCGAUAAACCCCACCUCUUCUUGCCAAUACAGCCUAUAUACCGCCAUCGUCAGCUCACCCCAAUAGGGACCCAAAGUAGGCAAAACUAUAAAACCAUAAAAACGUUAGGUCAAGGUGUAGCAUAUGAAGAGGGAAGCAAUGGGCUACAUUUUCUAAACUAGAACAUAACGAAUGGCCUUAUGAAAUCUAAGACCUGAAGGAGGAUUUAGUAGUAAAUUAGGAGCAGAGAGCCUAAUU
Molecule: ribosomal RNA, 751 nt
Filed under: Dromiciops gliroides (monito del monte)
Lineage: Eukaryota; Metazoa; Chordata; Mammalia; Microbiotheria; Microbiotheriidae
Description: partial small subunit ribosomal RNA
Rfam family: Bacterial small subunit ribosomal RNA
Source: RNAcentral